RNAcentral lists this ribosomal RNA (540 nucleotides) under uncultured bacterium. Its description in RNAcentral is "bacterial SSU rRNA". It matches the Rfam family "Bacterial small subunit ribosomal RNA", at positions 355 to 895 of the family's 1533-position model. The record is from RNAcentral.
UGAGGAAUAUUGGUCAAUGGAUGGAAAUCUGAACCAGCCAAGUAGCGUGCAGGAUGACGGCCCUAUGGGUUGUAAACUGCUUUUAUGUGAGAAUAAAGUUAGGUAUGUAUACUUAUUUGCAUGUAUCACAUGAAUAAGGACCGGCUAAUUCCGUGCCAGCAGCCGCGGUAAUACGGAAGGUCCAGGCGUUAUCCGGAUUUAUUGGGUUUAAAGGGUGCGUAGGCCGUUUGAUAAGCGUGCUGUGAAAUAUAGUGGCUCAACCUCUAUCGUGCAGCGCGAACUGUCGAACUUGAGUGCGUAGUAGGUAGGCGGAAUUCGUGGUGUAGCGGUGAAAUGCUUAGAUAUCACGAAGAACUCCGAUUGCGAAGGCAGCUUACCGUAACGUUACUGACGCUUAAGCACGAAGGUGCGGGUAUCGAACAGGAUUAGAUACCCUGGUAGUCCGCACAGUAAACGAUGGAUGCUCGCUGUUGGCCUUUUGUGGUCAGUGGCUUAGCGAAAGCGUUAAGCAUCCCACAUGGGGAGUACGCCGGCNACGGU